AAGUUUUUAUUUUAAAUAUUAAAAUAUUAUUCUGUAAAAAUAAAAAUUUUAAAGCUUU
RNAcentral lists this transfer RNA (58 nucleotides) under Heterodera glycines (soybean cyst nematode). RNAcentral describes it as "tRNA-Tyr". Lineage: Eukaryota; Metazoa; Nematoda; Chromadorea; Rhabditida; Heteroderidae. The record is from RNAcentral.